RNAcentral lists this small nuclear RNA (20 nucleotides) under Arabidopsis thaliana (thale cress). RNAcentral describes it as "snRNA_06985". Lineage: Eukaryota; Viridiplantae; Streptophyta; Magnoliopsida; Brassicales; Brassicaceae. The record is from RNAcentral.
GACCCAAGUACUUGACUCGG